CGCCUCUCUCUGUCUCUUUCUCGUCUUUUCUCAUUUUCCCACUAGAAAACGAGAAAAAAAAAUGCAAAAAGAUAGUGAAAUGAACGCAUCAAUUCCGGGAUCUAGGCAAUUGAAUUGUAGAAAUCAUACGUGCCUUGCAUUCCUUAUUAACCGCCUGUCCAAAAGAGGAAUUUUGCAGAUCUUUUGCGAGUUUUACUGCAGCAAAGCACCAGGGCCUCCACCUGCUGUUCAUUCAGGUGAUCAAUUCUUUGCGUGAAGAUAUAGAGCAUUCCUCAUUUACUACGUGGUUCUGAUAUUCUUCACCUUAGUUUCAACGACCGAGUGUGCCAUGAGUUAAGCCAUCCCAUUACCAAGUCACUAGACUUUGACCAUUGUGUGCCGUUGAAAGAUAACAACAGUGAAUAAGGAGAGUAACAUUGAGAAACAGGCCUGGAAGUUGACUCGAUAUGCAGCUUAGGCUAAGAACUGAAACUUAGUAUCUUCCAUGAGUUUGAAGCUGUGGUGGUACUAAUUUAUUUUCCUGGUCCAUUGACAUGAAGAAAAAAUUUCUAACCUACUUUACAACGAGUCAGAAUGAAUCCAAUUAGUGGAACACAUAGUGACAUUUAAUAUAUCUGAAGUGUAUCAAAAUUAAUUUAUCGACAUUUUUAGCUGUAUUUGAUCUGGACGAAUAAUGUUAGACUAUUUCCUCUAUCUCAUCAUUAUUCUACACUUUCCAUUUGGGAUGCCUCAAAAUAAAAUCAUUUCACAAUAUUGAUUAAUCAUUUUGAUAUUAUCUCUAUACUAUUCUUUUGUUAAAAUUUUAUAAGGUCAUAAAGUGUAAUUAGUCUUUUCAUUUGAUGGUGGUGUAGUAUAUGAAUGUUAAUUAACUGGAAGACACGCAAUGGAUGCAUGUUCCUUAAACGAUAGGACUUCAAAAUGAAGUUCUUUUAAUGUGAUAGAGGGAGUCCAUUUAUCCCUAAACACAUCAUUCUAUGUUCUGUUCUGUUUUUGUUUUUAGUUGUGACAAUGUGUUAUCAAUUCUGUGAUAAGAGAAGUAGAUUUAAAGAAGUUAUCAACUGUUCCCAUUCGAUCAUCCAAGUCUAGUGAUCAGAAAAUGAUUGCUGAGAGCAAUAGAGUAAGCAAGAGAUUAUUCAAACCUUGUUUUAAGUCCAACUAGUUCCACAAUUUGGUGAUGAUGGACCUGGACAAGUUAGUUUCUCUUCGUUCAAGUCACUGUUACUUUUAGUGUAGUUUUUGAAAGCCAUCGAUCCUAAUUCACAUUAUCCUUCUCCAAUGUGUGACCAAAUAAUUUCUUGAUUUGAUGGUCUCACCUAUGCCACAUCACGUGUAUAUGACUUUGAUUAAUUCCUGUUUUAAAUGUUUUCCAUUUUUUAUGCCAUCUUUGCCAUUUUGCACUUCUUUCUCUCAAGAGCUUUCUUAUUUAUUUAUCUUCAUAGGUGAAGCCUUGAAAGAAGUGCAGGCUUCUGCAUUCCAGUGCAAUGAACUCCUUUAAUAUGUAUAACUAUGGCACUAGCUAAAAGUGCUUCGGACAUGUCAUGCAUUCUAUUAGUUGAGAUAAAACUUGUGAUGCUAUAACGUGUUAAAAUAUCUCUCGUGGGUGAUUUGGAUGAGCGUCUUAUAUCAGUAGCCUUAUUCCAUCCAAUAUAGUUAUAGUAGUUAUCUCUUCAGAUGUAUUUCAAUCAGCUUUGUCAUACUACCAAAUUUAGUCUCAAGUUCAUCACUUCUGAAUAUAAAAUAUCUGUUGAAAAAAACACCAGGAUUCCUUUGCAGGAAUUGGUCUUGAAAUUUUAUUUUAGGACAUUUCAAAGAAAUAAAAUGUUACUGUGACUCGUCUUUUUCAAAUCUUUUAGGAAGAGUUUGAGUCUAUAUGUCUUAGACACAGGUAUGAUCUCUCCCAAAAUUCUAAAAUGGUUUUUUUGUGAUCUUGAGUUACCAUAAAAAAUGGGAGGACUUUAGGUUUUAAAUCCCAAUAAACAUUGUUGUACUUGAAAAGAUUUUCGCUGUUCACCAGACUUGUGUCUUUUUGCAGACUGUAACUGUUCUUGACACUGUAGAGGAACUUGUAGAAGAACAUAGUCUGGACCCUCUACUUUCUGAGAAGUAGUAGUCCUCAUUUUCUUUAGCACUUUUGCAAUUUAUGGUUGGCAGAUUAGUUUCAUUAUUAGAGCCAAAAUUGACUAGAAGCUAGAAUAGAUAUAUCCCGUAAACUGAAGUAACAUUGUCUCAAUUAUACUUGUGAAUGCUCCAGACUUGAGCUUCAUAUUGAAUUCAUUUAAAAAUCUCUAAAUAUUAUUAUUGUUGAAGUGAAAAAUGGUUAUAAUUAAUGUGUUGCCAAACUUUCUACCAUCUCAAUUCUGUAUGUAAGCAUAUAAUUUCCCAUGAAGCACAAAAUCACAGGAGUAAUGUUGGAGCAACUGCACAAAAUCUGUCCGAAGCAAAGAAGAACGAACUCCACUGCUUGAUGUGGAUGUUGCGAAAGGUCGGUCAUGUGCAGAAUUUAAAACUUUUAAUGUCAGUAUCUAAGUGAAAGCAUUUGAUUAGUCUACAUUUUAUUGAAUCCUGUAAGUUGGAAGCAAUGAAAAUUUAUUAGGUUGUAAUUUUAUGCUAUAUACCGUAGCUGUUUAAAAAAAUAUAUAGCAUAGAGCAGUAAUUAAAACAGUAAAUUCUUUAAGUCCAGGUAGCAAUGCACAUAUAGAAGGCUUUGGACUUCUCAUCAUCCUGUGCUUCUGUGUGCAAGUACUGGUGGCAUCUUUUAGCUAGAAAACUAAAACCUUGUGUGGCCCAGUUGCAAGUUGUCUUGGGUUUUAACCAUUGAAUAAAAAUGUCACUGCUUAUGGGCUAGUUGAGUUACCUACUUAAGGACUCAUUUCUUUGUCUGAAAUCAUGUAGGCUAACAUGCUUAAUGCGGAUAAUAAUUUGCAUAAUAUUGUUUGCAGUUUGUGUAUCAAAGAACAGUCUCUAACAGAAGGACCAGGUAUAUGGGACAGAACUUGAGCCUUAAAAUAUUGCAUACUCAAGUUCGUGAAUAAAUUAACUACAUGUUACAAUCAGCCUGAUGUAACUGGUAUUUAUUUCACGCACUCAUAUGAGCACUGUGAGAUAACUUACAAAACACGAUUUACUCUGAAGUGACAUGACGAAGAGAGACAUGUAAAAAAAUUUGUUAAUUGUAGUAUUCCGUUCAAUUCCAUUCCGAGUUGAGAUUUGCUGUCCAAAAUUGGUUGUUCAACUUGCUCUUCAUUCAAUAAUUCAUUGCUACAUCAUUUUACACCUAUUUUUAAGCAUAAGUGGCAAUGAGAGAAAAGUUAGACAUGUUAAUUUAAAGUGAUGUGUCAAUAAAUUAUUGGGUGGACAACAUUCCAUUUAGCGCAGAACAUGCAAUGUCUAAGGUAUUCAAUAUUUUUAGGGGUAUGGCACCUGGCCUAUAAACUUUCCAUUUUUCUUCCUACUUUCUAAAUACAGGCCCUUGCAGAAUCGAGGUCCCCUACCCAUGGGCUGAUGAACUGUACAGCUCGUCCACAUCGCAGCUUGUAGUGGGUCGGGGUUGGUCGGGACUUGACAAAAGACAACCCAACAGAUUUUGACUUGUAUAAUCGGUGCAUAGAUCUACGAUUACUAAGGCUAGCAUUUCCUUACCUAUCCCCAUGGGGCUAAGCAGGAAGAGUUUAGCACUUUGCAGGCUGAACAAUGAAAAAGAGCUGGCAAUUGGUUGUUCUGAAAACUUUGCACGGUCUCAUUUCUCAUUAUCUAGUGUUUAUACAUACACCAGAUACGUAAAUGUGGGCGUGUAAUAUUCUAAAUUUUAUAGAAUUAGUUUCAUGUUUGUAGCCUUCUUACCGACUUAAGGGAGCAUUAAUUUGGAUGCCUGCAUUUAA
Long non-coding RNA from Olea europaea var. sylvestris, 3878 nucleotides. RefSeq lists it as uncharacterized. The transcript is spliced from 4 exons. The record is from RefSeq and is a predicted model, not a curated record. Lineage: Eukaryota; Viridiplantae; Streptophyta; Magnoliopsida; Lamiales; Oleaceae.